This 2665-nucleotide long non-coding RNA is filed under the name Setaria italica (foxtail millet). RNAcentral's name for it is "long non-coding RNA (SITA_LNC002099)". The record is from RNAcentral. Lineage: Eukaryota; Viridiplantae; Streptophyta; Magnoliopsida; Poales; Poaceae.
AUUUGAUCAGGAAAUCUGCAGAGGCUCCUGCAACGUAACCGGACAUAGCCAUGACUGCCCAAGGUAUGGCGCUGAACCAUGCUGCUUGUUUUAGAUUUACAUUAUAAACCUGUAGUAGGAUUGUAGUUAGAAAUAGCUUGGAGUUUUGAGAGUAGUAUUAAUCAAGGCAAAAUAGCCAAAUACGUCCCUCAACUUUAUUCUAGGGAUCACUUUAGUCCUUCAACUAUUAAAUAGGUCACAUUAGUCCCUAAAGUUUCUCUUUUGGGUCAAACUGGUCCUUAGGCUGACUUGGCAUGCCAUGUGGUCUUGCCAUGUCAGCAGUGGGCAACCUUUGGAUGACUCAACAUAGUAGAAUUGUCUCUUUUACCCCUUUGAUUCACCAUGUAUAUUAGAAUGGUUGUGUAUAAGAUUGUUGCGACGAGGGUACAAAAUAAUCGCACCUUCUAUCCUAUGUUCAUGCAUCUAGCUUUAGUUUUUGUUGAAUCUUAGGUAUGGAAACUAACAUAUGACAUUGUUUAGGCUCUGUUAGAACAUUUUGAUCAAUUUCAUUUUGGAAGAAAAAUAAUGAAGAUGUGCAUAACACACUAUGCCAUCACUUUAUUUAUUUUAUCUUGCUUGAGCAGACGAGUGUGAAAAAUUCCUUGUAAUAUGUGAAACCCACGUCAGGUAUUAUUUAUUAGAUGAAACAAGGGGUAAAUGUGGCAAUUAUAACAUGUUUGACUCAUCUAAGGGCAACCAAAGAUGACAUGGCAUGAACACAUGGCAUGCCACAUCAGUCCAGGGACCGUUUUGAUCCAAAGUGAAAAGUUGGAGGACUAAAACGGACUAUUUGAUACUUUAGGGACAAAGUGAUCCUUGGACUAACGUUUAGGGACAUAUUUGCCUAUUUUGCCAUUAAUCAACUAGGAGGCCUUUGAUAACAUACCGUUUUGAAGUACACAGGCAUCCACGACAAUAAGACAAAGUAGCCCUGCAUGGUAUUUUGAAUUUGCCGGUGUUAGAAUUCGUACACAAUAUGACCAAACUGUAAUGUUGCUAGCCGAUCAUCCUUACCCAGUUGUUGACCACAUUGGCUAUAGUGACAGCCAAGAACUCAAAUUUCGAGAACAAUUCCCUAAGGGAUGGGCCUUUACUGCCUUUGACUUUAGAUCCGCUUCUUCCAUCUAGAAUAAAUUGCAGCUCAGAUUUGCUUAUGGUACGGCUGUCAAUAGGAUCGCUUUCUACAUUAAACAUCCAUACAGAUAGCCACAAGUAACCAAGCGAUGCGAAGAAGGCAAAUGUUCCAGUAAGGCCUAUGUGUGACAUGAUGAUCGGUGUUGCUAGGAAGCUUAUGACGUUUCCAAGAUGGAAUCCACCCAUUGAAAUGCCGACAGCGGUGGCACGCUCUUGUGUUGGAAACCACCUGUUUCAUGCUCAAUGUUAGAUUGAACCCAAUACUGAAAUGUUGUUUGAUGACAUUGACAUCAAAUAGGUGGCAGUUUUUUUUUUUUAUUUUGGAGAUUCUGUAGCAGCUAAAUUGAAAUCAAUGAAUAAAAACCUAAACUGAAAUACCAGCAAGAUCAGAUGAACAAUACUUGCAUGUGCAGUUGAAAGAACUAUUCUAGUUACCAAGUUGGAUGUUGCUUAAAGCUUUAAAACGCCAGCUACAAGCAAAUUAAUCGGGUGAGAAAUUUGUUACUCACUUUGGUAAGAAGGUGCUCAUUGUCGGAAAUGCAACACCUUCGGCUAGGCCAAAGAGUGCACGCACAGCAAGCAACAUGGUGGUGGAGCGGGAGGCAGCCCAAGGAGUGAGGAUUGUAGCCAAGGACCAUAGUGCAGCAGCACCUGCCAUCACCUUCUUCCCGCCAUAUUUGUCUGCCAAAGCUCCUCCAACCAUGGAUGAACAAACGUAUCCCCAUAAAAAUGAUGACUGCAGAAAUGGUGAUGAUACUAACAUCAGAUUCAACCAGCCUAGUAGCAAGAUAACAAGCUUAUCGAGCAUCAGGGCAUACACCACAUGGAGUUUUGAGUUGGGUGUUUCUAGUUACUGAUUUUUUCCCCCAGUGUAAUCCUCCUGGUCCCUAUCACCAGGUAAAACAAGACACCAAUAGCAAGGACAUCUGAACUAGUCCAAUUAUCCAAUUCGAAUCCUGUCGAUAUCAGGAGACUUUUGAUAGCAUAUCUAUGUGAUUGACUGUCCAAGGAAACUAACCUUCACUUUACCGAUUUGUGCUCUGCAGUCAAAUACAGGCUAACUAUAAUCAUUGUCAUGGCUCGUGGUCAAUUGAGAAAGCAAACACAUAAACUUCCAUUCUCAAAUUGGUCGUGUUCUGGUGACAUGUUGGUAACUUGGAGCUGCUCUGGGCCGGCACACGGCAAGACUGUAGUCCAUAAGAGGCUGGAAGACCGACCGUCUCCCAUCGUUGCAGUUCCACGUGCUUCUUCUAAAAUGUAAUGCUUCAGUCGUUUUCUCAUCGCGUCUGGCACUGACGUGUCGAUGCAGAGUUGACCUUUUUUGUUCUAUGAACUGAUCGUUCGGGACAUUUUGUUCUUCAUUACAGAGCAGCGAAUUUGUUGCUUAAUUUCUGAGAAAAGGGGUCCUUCGCUUUGCUUCUACUUUUCGUCAAUGCACAGAGGAAAAAGGAGGGGGAACGAAGCAUCAAGCAAGUGCUGGGGGAUUCAGCUG